Molecule: long non-coding RNA, 1440 nt
Organism: Rhododendron vialii
Lineage: Eukaryota; Viridiplantae; Streptophyta; Magnoliopsida; Ericales; Ericaceae
Exons: 3
Source: RefSeq, a predicted model, not a curated record
CAAGAUCCAUGGAUGAGUGAAGCGAUUGCAAAAGAAUUUCCUGGUACAAAGCAUAGCUUUUGUAUUUGGCACAUUACAAGUAAAUUUAGUGCUUGGUUCAUGGCUGUUCUUUGCGACCAAUAUUAGACAUGGUGUUCUGAUUUUUAUGAGUUAUAUCACUUAGAAACACCUCAAGAGUUUGAGGAUCACUGGACCCAAGUCAUUGCCAAGUAUAAUUUGCAGUCCAACAAGCAUGUCAUGGGUUUAUAUGAGAUUAAACACUUUUGGGUGCUAGCUUACUUGCGUGAUUAUUUCUUCGGAGGGAUGACUACUACAGGAAGGUCGGAGAGCAUCAAUGCUUUCAUAAUGCGGUUCAUUAGCUCUCAUACAAAUUUAGAGAAAUUUGUUAAACAGGUUGAUCUUGGUAUUGAAGAUAUCUAACAAAAGGAAUUGCAUGACACCAUGUUACAAAAGUACAUAUGUUCUUCUUUAAGAACUAUGUCACCAUUGGAAGAGCAAGCCCGUGAAGUUCUUACACAAGUUUGCUUUAAAAAAUUUCAAGAGGAGUUUGGAAGAGCAACUUUAUAUUCAUUGCUACAUGGUGAUGGGAAUGAAUUUAUUGUAAAAUAUCACAAGAACGUGGAUAGCAAAAAGCACAAAGUGUUUUGGGAUGGUGAGGCAGCUACAUGUGGUUGCAAGCACUUUGAGUUUUGGGAAAUUCUUUGUCGACACAUAUUAAGUGUGUUUCUUCAUAAGGAUUGCUACCAAAUUCCAUCCAUGUAUUUACCAUCACGUUGGUGUCGUGAUACAUUCCAAAGUGAGGAAGGGUCUCAAAUGUCAGAUGAAAUUUUAGCAGAUAACUUGAUUGAUGAUGUUCAUUGUCCUCCAAUUUCUAAAACCAAAGGCCGUCCAAAGACUUAGCGACUGAAACGCGGAAGAGAAGUUUACUCCAAAGCUAAAAAGGAGUUGUGAAUUUUGUAAGAAUGUUGGGUAUAAUAUCACUACUUGUCCGGAGAAGGAAAAUAUUGAUUGUGUCUACAAUUCUCAAAAGAAGAAAAAGAUGGCAUCAAGUAGUGACAUGGGCUUAAAUCCUGUGUUCUGUAUCAAGUACUAGGUCGAUGGAAAAUUUUUGUGCCACACGUCUAAACUUUUGGAGUGGAUGGGCAUGUUUGUGUAGCUCUUUUUUGGUGGGGUUUAGUUUUUGUUCCGACAUGGCAUACAUGACUGAUCAUAUGUCCUAAACUUGUUUUUGUUCUUACAUUUUGUAUAGUCAUGUUAAUUUGCUCGUACAAUUUGACUUUGUUGAUGGGCAACAAAAAUAGAUCAAUGCCCAUAUAUAUUUUUGUAGUUGUGGGCUGUGGAAUGAUUCUUGAUAUGGGAUCAUAAUACCUUGUCUUUUUGUAAUUAUGUCAUGUGAAAAUGAAACGUAGCAGGAACGUGAUGGUUUAUGGAAUUUUUGGC